This 1398-nucleotide ribosomal RNA is filed under the name Kocuria rosea subsp. polaris. Its description in RNAcentral is "bacterial SSU rRNA". It matches the Rfam family "Bacterial small subunit ribosomal RNA". Lineage: Bacteria; Bacillati; Actinomycetota; Actinomycetes; Micrococcales; Micrococcaceae. The record is from RNAcentral.
AUGCAGUCGAACGAUGAUGCCCAGCUUGCUGGGCGGAUUAGUGGCGAACGGGUGAGUAAUACGUGAGUAACCUGCCCUUGACUCUGGGAUAAGCCUGGGAAACUGGGUCUAAUACUGGAUACUACCGUCCACCGCAUGGUGGGUGGUGGAAAGGGUUUUACUGGUUUUGGAUGGGCUCACGGCCUAUCAGCUUGUUGGUGGGGUAAUGGCUCACCAAGGCGACGACGGGUAGCCGGCCUGAGAGGGUGACCGGCCACACUGGGACUGAGACACGGCCCAGACUCCUACGGGAGGCAGCAGUGGGGAAUAUUGCACAAUGGGCGGAAGCCUGAUGCAGCGACGCCGCGUGAGGGAUGACGGCCUUCGGGUUGUAAACCUCUUUCAGUAGGGAAGAAGCGAGAGUGACGGUACCUGCAGAAGAAGCGCCGGCUAACUACGUGCCAGCAGCCGCGGUAAUACGUAGGGCGCAAGCGUUGUCCGGAAUUAUUGGGCGUAAAGAGCUCGUAGGCGGUUUGUCGCGUCUGCUGUGAAAGCCCGGGGCUCAACCCCGGGUCUGCAGUGGGUACGGGCAGACUAGAGUGCAGUAGGGGAGACUGGAAUUCCUGGUGUAGCGGUGAAAUGCGCAGAUAUCAGGAGGAACACCGAUGGCGAAGGCAGGUCUCUGGGCUGUUACUGACGCUGAGGAGCGAAAGCAUGGGGAGCGAACAGGAUUAGAUACCCUGGUAGUCCAUGCCGUAAACGUUGGGCACUAGGUGUGGGGGACAUUCCACGUUUUCCGCGCCGUAGCUAACGCAUUAAGUGCCCCGCCUGGGGAGUACGGCCGCAAGGCUAAAACUCAAAGGAAUUGACGGGGGCCCGCACAAGCGGCGGAGCAUGCGGAUUAAUUCGAUGCAACGCGAAGAACCUUACCAAGGCUUGACAUUCACCGGACCGCCCCAGAGAUGGGGUUUCCCUUCGGGGCUGGUGGACAGGUGGUGCAUGGUUGUCGUCAGCUCGUGUCGUGAGAUGUUGGGUUAAGUCCCGCAACGAGCGCAACCCUCGUUCUAUGUUGCCAGCACGUGAUGGUGGGGACUCAUAGGAGACUGCCGGGGUCAACUCGGAGGAAGGUGGGGAUGACGUCAAAUCAUCAUGCCCCUUAUGUCUUGGGCUUCACGCAUGCUACAAUGGCCGGUACAAAGGGUUGCGAUACUGUGAGGUGGAGCUAAUCCCAAAAAGCCGGUCUCAGUUCGGAUUGAGGUCUGCAACUCGACCUCAUGAAGUCGGAGUCGCUAGUAAUCGCAGAUCAGCAACGCUGCGGUGAAUACGUUCCCGGGCCUUGUACACACCGCCCGUCAAGUCACGAAAGUUGGUAACACCCGAAGCCGGUGGCCUAACCCCUUGUGGGAGGGAGCCGUCGAA